Molecule: ribosomal RNA, 31 nt
Filed under: Rhizoctonia solani
Lineage: Eukaryota; Fungi; Basidiomycota; Agaricomycetes; Cantharellales; Ceratobasidiaceae
Description: partial 18S ribosomal RNA
Source: RNAcentral
GGUGACCUGCGGAAGGAUCAUUAUUGAAUUU